This 253-nucleotide unclassified non-coding RNA is filed under the name uncultured Alteromonadales bacterium. RNAcentral describes it as "contains 16S-23S intergenic spacer region". It matches the Rfam family "Bacterial small subunit ribosomal RNA", at positions 524 to 776 of the family's 1533-position model. The record is from RNAcentral. Lineage: Bacteria; Pseudomonadati; Pseudomonadota; Gammaproteobacteria; Alteromonadales.
UACGGAGGGUGCGAGCGUUAAUCGGAAUUACUGGGCGUAAAGCGAGCGUAGGCGGCCAGAUUAGCUGGAUGUGAAAGCCCCGGGCUUAACCUGGGAACUGCAUUCAGAACUGUCUGGCUAGAGUAUGGUAGAGGGUAGUGGAAUUUCCUGUGUAGCGGUGAAAUGCGUAGAUAUAGGAAGGAACACCAGUGGCGAAGGCGGCUACCUGGACCAAUACUGACGCUGAGGUUCGAAAGCGUGGGGAGCAAACAGG